Sarcophilus harrisii (Tasmanian devil) is the source of this 1072-nucleotide non-coding RNA. The record is from Rfam. Lineage: Eukaryota; Metazoa; Chordata; Mammalia; Dasyuromorphia; Dasyuridae.
CCACAUUCAGGGCCCCAGGUGGGGCAAGAUGGCAGCCGAGGUUACACCCAGAGAGUCUUUAGAAAUUCAAUAGUAAGAUAUGAUCAAUUAUCCAAAAGGCAAUUGGAUGGAAGAAGGAGAUUAUACAAUCAAUCAGCCAAAGGGCAAUCAGAAGGUAAAAGGGGAUUGAAAUUAGGAAAAACAGAGUUGUAUGCAGUAGAGACUACUGAGAUAUCAUCCCCUGGAGAGGUGAAAUCUGUUCCUGUCCAGCUUAUAGAUCCCUUGCCUCCAGGCACAGUAGGCUUGACCAUUUCACCUCCUGAGGGUGCUUACAAAACAGUGGCCAUGGACAUCGGAAUCCUCUAAGGAGUGUCUAACAACUCACCUGCCGAAUCAACUAGCCCUGAAAAUGGAUGGCACUGGAGCAUUGGGCCCAUACCUGGCCGUCGCUGGCAAUGGGCACAAAGCAGGAACAGAAACGUGUUGUUUCCUGAGAACAGAUUCCGCACAAGGGAGGAAGGCACGAACUCACUCCUCAGGGGCUAGGCCACGAUGAGUAGGAGGGCUGCUGCGGUGGGCCUGGAAGCCUAGGGCAUGGGCCCAGGUGGAGCUGCCGCAGGUGUAGAUCUUGGUGGUAGUAGCAAAUAUUCAAACGAGAACUUUGAAGGCUGAGGUGGAGAAGGGUUCCAUGUGAACAGCAGUUGAACAUGGGUCAGUCAGUCCUGAGAGAUAGGCAAGCGCCAUUCCAAAGGGACAGGCAAUGGUCUCUGUUGCUCUCAGCUGAUCGAAAGGGAGUAGCGUUCAGAUCCCAGAAUCUGGAGUGGCAGAGAUGGGCCCUGUGAGGCAUCCAGUGCAGUAACGUGCCUGAUCCCAGAAAAGCCGGCUGGAGCCCCGGGGGAGAGUUCUCUUUUCUUUGUGAAGGGCAGGGCUGCCCUAGAAUGGAUUUGCCCUGAGAGUGGGCUUGUGGGCUUCUAUAUCUCCCAGAGUGCUCCUGGCUCUCAGUCUCCCAGAGUGCUCCUCUCUGACUCUUGUUGAUGUUUCGAAGUAACUAACCCAAAGCUAAGAGCCUCUUUAUACAUGAUCUCCCAAAGGU